GAAGUCAUUUUGGCGCAGUCGUAGCGUGUCGGGUUGACAACUCACUGGUCACCGGUUCGAUGUCGCCGGUGGUUUCG
Non-coding RNA from Phytophthora infestans T30-4, 77 nucleotides. The record is from the annotation of a RefSeq genome assembly. NCBI's taxonomy places the organism in Eukaryota, Oomycota, Peronosporomycetes, Peronosporales, Peronosporaceae.